UACAACAUAAAAAAUAGAAAUACUACAUUAAACAUAUGUACGAUUACCAUUUUACAUUUUUAUUUUAAAUAAAUAAUAUGUAAACUUUCAACAUAAAAAAUAGAAAAACUACAUUAAACAUAUGUAAGACUACCAUUUUUCACUAAAAAAAACAUCUUAUCUCCAUAAUGUAACAUUACUAUUUUGUAAAAAAAACAUUAUAUAUAAUUUUGAAAAUAAUAAAAUAAUAUGUAAACAUACAACAUAAAAAAAGGAAAUUACUAAUAAAAGGGACCUUUUGAGGCUCCAUAGAGCGUCCACAUCAGCAAAA
Molecule: long non-coding RNA, 310 nt
Filed under: Brassica rapa (field mustard)
Lineage: Eukaryota; Viridiplantae; Streptophyta; Magnoliopsida; Brassicales; Brassicaceae
Description: long non-coding RNA (BRAP_LNC006450)
Source: RNAcentral